GAUGAACGCUCGCUACAGGCUUAACACAUGCAAGUCGAGGGGAAACGGCAUCGAAAGCUUGCUUUUGAUGGGCGUCGACCGGCGCACGGGUGAGUAACGCGUAUCCAACCUGCCCAUCACUUGGGAAUAACCUUGCGAGAGUAAGACUAAUGCCCAAUGACAUCCCACGAAGGCAUCCGAAUGGGAUUAAAGAUUUAUCGGUGAUGGAUGGGGAUGCGUCUGAUUAGCUUGUUGGCGGGGUGACGGCCCACCAAGGCAACGAUCAGUAGGGGUUCUGAGAGGAAGGUCCCCCACAUUGGAACUGAGACACGGUCCAAACUCCUACGGGAGGCAGCAGUGAGGAAUAUUGGUCAAUGGGCGAGAGCCUGAACCAGCCAAGUAGCGUGCAGGAUGACGGCCCUAUGGGUUGUAAACUGCUUUUAUAAGGGAAUAAAGUGGGUCACGUGUGACUUUUUGCAUGUACCUUAUGAAUAAGGACCGGCUAAUUACGUG
Molecule: ribosomal RNA, 492 nt
Filed under: uncultured bacterium
Lineage: Bacteria
Description: partial 16S ribosomal RNA
Rfam family: Bacterial small subunit ribosomal RNA
Source: RNAcentral